UCCAGCUUCAUCUUCACUGUCUAUACCAGUCAUGUUCAAUGACUUAUAAAAAGCAGUGAUACUCUUCUAGUCCAAUAAAAUCUUGCACAAGCACAGAGAAAAGAGGGCGGGUGGGUCAUUGUUUCAGAGGGGGAAGGGCUGACCAUUUUCUUAGGGCCUCUCUUUCCCCACGCAGAGAGUGGUGAGGCCUGAUGAGGCACCUUUGCUCUGAAUCCCAAGCAUCUGAAAACCCCUUGUCCCAUCUAGGUGAAAGGAUGGAGGGAGGGAGGGAAGAAAUAGAGGAAUGAAGGGAGGGAGGAAAGAAUGUUGCUUUUCAUUGCCACUUGCACAGGAUUCUUGUGGGAGCCAGUAGGGAAGUUGCUAUUUUGAAUCGGAUAAAUUGGGGCUUCCUCUUCUUGUUCAUCAAGACCACUCUUUGGCUCAUUUCAUCCCAAUAAAACAAACCACGACACACUACCAGACUGAAGAGACCGUACAGUGCACUUUUAAGUGUCUGGGCUCCAAACCAAACUGCCUGGGUUUGAAUCCUGGCCCUGCUACUUAUCACUGUGUGAUACUGGACAAGUUACUUAACCUUUCUGUGCCUGUUUUCUCAUCUGCAGAAAUAGGUGCUGAUAGUACCUACCUCAUGGGAGUGUUGUGAGGAGAAAAUGUGUUAGCAUGGGUACGACGUUUAGAAUGGCAUUUGCCACAUGGUCUGGGAAUAAAUGUCAGCUGUCAUUAUGCUGUGGGUAUAUAAAUACACUACUCCUUGCAAUAUCAGUUUUUGCCCACACAAUUUCCAGCCCUCUGCCCUCAGGUGAGCCAGCCUGUCUCAUCUCAGGGCCUCAUGGUGGCUUAGCUCACUCAGCAGUGGGAGCAGGUGGCUGAGCUGCAGUCAGGGUUCUGUGAACGCGGUGGGUUGAGGAGGGAAAGGAAUGAGGUUUGGAGUCCUUUUGUUGUUUUGCUUGGGUCAGAAGGAAUCUGUGGUAGCAUGCAGUCAUGAUCUUAUUUUACAGCUGCAGGAUGUUGGUAGACAAACUUCUCCCUAAUCUAUAUGAUCUAUAAGCCCAAACGGCCUUUAAUAGGGGGCGGUCACAGGAGGUCAGUGGCCUCCUCCUUCACAGCAGCUAUGUGAUGUGGCUGAGCUCUGAGAAAGAGCACUUGGCUGUGGUGCAACUGGCCUAGAAUUCAUAGCCCCAUUCUCUUGAUCUGAGUUGCUUCUGGGGGAUGAGCGUGGCACCACAGCGUCUCAGGUGCUAUAUAGGGGACUUCCCAAGAGUUGCCCGUAUCGGUUGUAAGGUGCUGUCUACAUGAGGGGAUGGUUUUAUGAAUACACAAGGGAGAGUUACCAGCAGAGUGAUGGCGAAAGCUUUGAGCUAGAUGGUUUUCAUCUUCCUGAAACAUCGCCCUAGGGUUUUCCUGAUGUUUCCAUCAAUCUGUUAAGUGCAGUGUGUGGUCGUGUCCCUCAGGGACUUUCCCAUUUACUCUGGAAGACCAAACUUAUAGGCUACACUCUGGGUGCAGACAGUGCUAGUCCUGUGGGGAGUUGGGAAAAAGGAGUGGGAGGCUUUGUGGCCGAGGAGGGGCUUCAGGGCAGCAAGGAUGACGGCUGGGUUUGAACAGUCAGUGGAGAAGGAAGUGUGGAAAGGCCAGAGAAGUAGACAUGGAUGUGUGCAUGCCAGAGAGGGCAGGCAGACAGGGUUCAUGGAGGGGGCAGAAGCAGCACAUUGACCUCUGCUUCUGCCAGAAGAUCAGAGGGGAUAUCGGGGGGGUGGUCUGGCCAGAGUAAGGGCAGCCUUGAAGCCCCGAUGGAAUAAUUUUGACUUGAUUCUAUGGAAAAUGACAUACGACAGUGUAGGAGGGCUUGUCUUCUAACUGAAACCAGCUGGGAAUCUUUCCCAGUAGAGUCAAGGGCAGGGCAGAGCGAGGGCCUUUGGCAGCAUGUGCAAAUGUACAUGCAUGUAACCAUUGUGUGUGGCCCACCAUGCUUUUAAACCUACCUUUACCUCCUCUAGUUCUUCAUAUCUCUUAACCCUCUUGUCUGUGAGCAUCAACAAUCCGGGGCUUACACAGACAACACCACAGUGUGCCAUCUUGCCAGAAGGAGAAACUGAGGCACUCUAUUCUAAAGAGGCUGGUUCUAGGACCUGCCCUUGAAUCACUGUGGAGUAAGACCCAGAGUGUGGGCUGCCAGGCCCCUUCCUUCAGGGAUCUGGCUUCUAAAGUUGGUUCUUUUCCUGUAUCUCAUAAAGAGGGAAAGGAUGGGCCUAAGAGAGGUUAUUUGGACAAAUGGCCAUUGUAAUUGCCUCCUAUCAGACACAGGUGGAUAGAGGCAGGUGUGGGGAAGAGGGCUGCCUGGAUCUGGGAUUCCCAAUCCCCCAUACUCCUUGGCCUAUUGUUGAGGGGGAGCUAGAGGAGGGGUGCGGACUUAGCAGGUUAAGAAAGAUAAACGCUUACUCUUUAACAGUGGGAAAGAGGGACGGAAGAGUAAGAUUGAAAUCUGAGGCAAGAGGAGUGGCCUAACCUGGUGGAGGCAGGAGAGGCGCGUGUCCUCUACAUGCCCGUCCAAGUCCCUGGUAGGUUCGUCCUUGCUCUGAGGGAAGAGUGUGGGCCACAGGCCAUGGGGACACUCUGAGGAUGUGGGUGCUGCCCAUCUUGAAGUUUCUCCCCACCCCUCUCCGGAGCUGCUACCAUUGUCCUUUGCCCUCGGAGUGCUCUCCUCCCACCCCCGCCGCCUCUUGUUCUCUUUCUCCCUUGAGCCGUUAGAAUGGCAGGGAGCCCAGCCAGGGCCUGGACGGCGGCCUCAGCUCCCUGUUCUCAAUAAUUGUGUGUGUGUGCAUGUGUGCAUGUGUACGUGUGAGUGCCUGUGUGUGUGCAUUGUGUGUAGGGGCUGGGGCUGGAGUCGACAACAGAUCAGAGCACAGGAGUAGAGCGCUUCUGGGAGGGUGGGGCCACCCGUGAGUCACGUCCUGCACCCUGGAGCCCAGAGGACCCUUCGCUCAAACCCACCACCAGCUGGCAACACCGGACCAGACCAGCCGGAGCCGCUUUCUUCGCUGCGCAGAGGAGCCUGGGAGAAGCCAGAGGUGUAAGUCAAGCUGUGGAGGGACUGGGUGUGGCUGAGCCCCGUGACAAGUGGGAGGAGCCAGGGAUGCUUGGGAGGGGAGGCACUGUGCGCGAGAGAGGAGGGAAAGGGGAAGCGUUCGUGCCUCUCUGCCCCCUGUCCCCCUCUUGCUGCAUAGUAGCCACAUCCAUGUCUCUUGUACCCUGCAAUCUGGAGGCCACUGCCAGAAGCUGGAAAUCUCAAGUAGAGCAGCAAAAGGUAUGAGGAUUGACACAAAGUUGUGGCCGAUGGAGGCUCCCCAAAGUGCAUGGAAGGUGGUGAUCCAGUGUCUAAAGGCAGGAGUACUGGGGCAACCCCAUAGCUGGGGGUCCUAUGGGAGAGACUGAGGAACUUCGGUUUGUGGACUCUCAGUCAACUGUGUUACUGAGGAGGGGAAAGGAAAGUAGAUGAGUUGGUGGUUUGAACAAGACCCAAAUCUUGCUUCUACUUAUAGGUGCUCACAAUGGCCAGUGCCCUGGAAAAGCUCUGGAAUAAAUACACCUGGGCCUUAGAAAGCAGAGGCAGGAGACAAUGCCAUCCAGUGGGAGCUUUCAUUUGUUUCCUCAGCCAGCCUCUGUGUCAGGCUUUUUGGGAACAAGGGCUGGAUGAACAAGACCUUGGGAGUUCCUGUGGGGAGGGACUGGGGGUGAAUGGGCAGUGUGGCUGGCCCGGUGAUCACUUCUCCUCUGCUUGUCUAGGCUUGAGGAUGGAUUCUUGGCUCCUGGUGCAUUGCCACUCCCUGCCACCCUCCUCCUUGUCUUCUAUCUUCUCCUGGUGGCGUCAGGCCUUGCUUCGUGUCCCAACAGGAGCCUCUGGGGCUGGCACAGCCCUCACUGCCUACAACCUGGGCCUGGUGGUUCUCCUAGGGUGCCUCUGGGAGGUCAUGGUCACCCCGCUGCUGGCUAACUGCAGCUACUUCUGCCAGCCAGUGGACUACAGAUGGAGAAAGCAUGGAAUGAGGGCAUCUUCCUGGAGACAGGAAGGUAGGCACUGUGGAAUCAGCGGUGCGUAGAACAGUGAGGAUUUGGGGCUGAACCCAGCCCAGGUGGGCCAAGCCGUGGCACCAGCCGGACUGCAGUCUGAUGGAACUUCCCCUUCCUGCCCAGCAGAUGGCGAGCGUGUGCUGCUGGUGCCUCUUUCCAAAGGACGUUGAAUUGCUUGACAGCCCUGCCCAGCAUCUAGAAGACCACCUGAAGCUUUCACACUUUGAGACCUUAGAUCCUGCGAGGGUUUGAAUUUCAAAAGCUUCAAUUAAAGCACACAGUGUUCUUUACUUUAUGAAUGAAGCCAGAGCAGCCCACCUUCCUGCAUCUCUACCACCAUGGCACCAUGCCCUGUGAUGGGUGGGCUGGAGUCAAAUAUGUAGCAGGCAGCCAGGGUCAGUUUGUGGCCACUGCUGCCCCCUCUUCCUACAGUCUCCUCACUGAGUGCCCCUUCCCUGUUGGGUUCAACACAUCUGUGCUCCUGUAAGCCCUCAGCCUCCUCGUUCUCUUCCUCAACUUCUACCACCAGACACAUCUGAGAAGCAAGCAAGAGAGGCUGAACUAGGAGCAGGACCCAGGGACUGAAACCAGCACAGCAUCCCCACAGAGAAUUGGGUGGAAGGCAGCAUGGCUUCCAGCUUACUGGUGCUGAGCAGAUUGCUCUGGGUCUCCAUUGUAUCCUCUGAAGGAAGGAGGAGGAUUGCCUUCUGUCCAGAUCUCAGGAUCAAACAAAUAGGUCCAAUUUCCUGUGCUCACUUCAGUUAGAGCACUUCUCAUGUGACUUUGUAGCUUUGUGUGCAUCUCCUUCCUCUACUAGACCUAAGCCCCUCACGGGAGGGACUCUCUUAUUCUUGAUGUUCCCCACACCUGGAAUUUCAAUAAACAUCUCAAUAAA
Molecule: long non-coding RNA, 4963 nt
Filed under: Homo sapiens (human)
Lineage: Eukaryota; Metazoa; Chordata; Mammalia; Primates; Hominidae
Description: uncharacterized LOC100507560, transcript variant 2 (LOC100507560)
Source: RNAcentral